This 253-nucleotide ribosomal RNA is filed under the name uncultured bacterium. RNAcentral describes it as "partial 16S ribosomal RNA". It matches the Rfam family "Bacterial small subunit ribosomal RNA", at positions 524 to 776 of the family's 1533-position model. The record is from RNAcentral.
UACGAAGGGUGCAAACGUUGCUCGGAAUUAUUGGGCGUAAAGCGCACGUAGGCGGCUUGGCAAGUCGGAUGUGAAAGCCCUCGGCUCAACCAAGGAAGUGCAUCCGAAACUGCUGAGCUUGAGUACUUAAGAGGAUCGCGGAAUUCCCGGUGUAGAGGUGAAAUGCGCAGAUAUCGGGAAGAACACCCGUGGCUAAGGCGGCUCUCUGGGACGGUACUGACGCUGAGACGCGAAAGCGUGGGGAGCGAACAGG